GGACAUCGCUGGAGACGAUCGAGAGCCAGGCCUGGACCGUGGGCCUGAGCGUGGAGCUCAGCCAGCAGACGGGCAGCUACCCCCGGCCGUCCCGGGAGCAGGCCUUCCUGUAUAAAGCUGUCGGGGUGUCCCUGGCAGCGUGUCGGCACGUCCCCUACGUCCACCGGGAAAUGAAGAAGUAUCUCUCAAGGACAAAUUACUUGGAAGCGUCUGAGAGAGAGGCAAUGAUUUCUGUUUUGGCCGGCUCUGCCGAGAGCCACUUCCACCUUGCCUUGAAGGUGGUGCAGGAGUUUGGGGCGUCCAUGGAGGAAAGACCAGUGUCUGGGGCUUUCAAACGCCUGAAGGAAUACCACCAGGGGAAGAGAGCGGGGAGGCACAUGGC
This is a long non-coding RNA of Dromaius novaehollandiae (emu), 382 nucleotides long. RefSeq lists it as uncharacterized. The transcript has 4 exons. The record is from RefSeq and is a predicted model, not a curated record. Lineage: Eukaryota; Metazoa; Chordata; Aves; Casuariiformes; Dromaiidae.